GUACUGUACAGGCAGGCGGGGUGGGGGGGGAGGACCGAGCAGCACCACAGAAAGCAAAUAAACGCUGUAGAGUUCCCCUGCAGACCGUGGCCAUGGCUUUGGCAGUCCCUGGCAGACACGGCGCUCCCGUCUCCUCACACCUGAUAGCGGACUGAGAGGGGGAGCGAGCACCAGGGAGAGAGCUGCGCCGUUUCAGACGGUUAACCACCAGGACUCGCUUUUAUUUCCAACGUGUCUGAUCUGCUUUUUUUUUUUUCUUCUUCACGUGUUAAUCCGGCUGCUCCAUGUUCAUUUUAUGUUGACGGCACAGGAGGCGGGUUUCUUCCACGAGUCGAGCAUUGGUGAGUGUGUCAUUUUAUAGCGAAAUACAGUGAGCUGGUUUCUUUAUGAGGCAGCGGUACAAAGCCAGUGCUGUCCUCACGUCAACCCGGGCGCUGCGCCGGCCCGCUUACAGCACUGUACCCAUAGGUUAAUGCAAAGACACGCAGUGGACUGUGUGCACCUCUACGUGCCAUCUGAGAAAGUGACCCGCAUGACUGCCAUGUGCUUCUCUUACUGUCGUUUUGUUCAAGGACCUGGGUCAGGUAGGGCUGAGUUCAUGGCUAAGGUUGGAGCUAUAUGAUCAACGCAAUAAGAAACCUGUUAACCUACACCCUGCCCUACAUGGCUGCACAGUCUGGACGGACCGUGAGAGAUGACACCUCACUAGGUACAGAGAUAGAGCCUUGUGCCAAGAUCUAGGAACUAAAUGUACAGUAUCCUAUAUAUUUCUAUGCGUAGCCUUGUCAAUGUGUGUGAUUAAGUGGGCAGGCACUGUCCACAUUCCUUAGCUGUGACAUAUCUGAGUAGGUCUGUGUGAGGGGGAAAGUGUGCCAAAGUGUGCUUAAAGUGCUCCUGGAGACUUGAUUUAAAUAAUGUAUGUGUUACAGCACAGCAUGAAAUAUGAAAUGUUGUAUUCAGCCUACAGCUGCUCUUGCAGGCUAAGGCGUGGUGUAGCUGUGUGAGACUGUGUGUUGAGUUGCACCUAUUAUUAAAUAGCCUUUCUAUAUUUGUGUGUGUUUAGUGAUUCAGCUACAGGUAUGGUUGAGAUGAGGAUGUGAUAAACAGCUAAAUUUCAAUUCAAGGUUGAGAGACCAAGCAGACUCGAGUUAGUGACAGUGUUGCAGUUGAGGAUGUGCUCGGGGUGACCUCUGAGCAGCACGCAGGUGUCAGUCUGGACUGAGAAUAAUUAACAAGUUAUGCAUAUGAAUUAUCUACACAAUGCAGCAACAGUUUUGCUUCUUUGGACUGGCAGCGUGCAUCAUGUGCAGCUUCAUGACCCAGUUUCGGUCUUCAUUUUUCAACAUCUUCUCAUUGAGAAAGGAAUCGUAUGUGCAUGCAUGAAUGUAGCGUGUUCAAAUUGCGGGCGGGGACAUGGCGAUGAAAAGGCUCAUAUAACUGGGAGUAAAACAAUGAAUGAAUGUGGUACCAAAAAAGAUAUUUCCCAUGAGUGCAGGAGACGGGGCACCAUAAAAUUACACAGGAAGCACUCUCACUCGUGUUGUUUACAAGUAUUUCCCCCAGUAACCCAGUUAUGAGUUAGGAAGCCAGCAGUUUUAUUAGUUUUCAGGAGCCUCUCAAAGAUUUAUUAGUAUGUAUGAGUUCUUCCAUCAGCCUUGUUUUCUUAUAAGAAAGGGGAAUUUGCCAAGCAAGAACCGACACACAGUAAAUCUUUUUGAAGGUGUAUAGUGAAAAAAUAAAAAAGAGACCUGUCUUGUAGUUUAAUUCAACCUGUCAGGAUUUAUCUAGCAACAUAGGGUUAGAAACAUAUAUCAUUUUAACAUGUAUAUUUGGUCUUAAAGAAACACCCUGUACAUGUAUGUGCAUAUACAAACAUACAAAGCCAUAAUCCCUGCCUGCAGCCAGACGUGACCUCUUUUGACGUCCAUUCCUAACACUCCCCCUCACCACCACCCCUCCCUCCAACCACCACCGUUCCCAGCUCAUUGCUGCGAGGCAGCGUCCUGGUUUUCUAAGGUUGAGGCUUAAUGUAUAGCAAAGCAGGAAGGGAGGGCUGGGGAGGGGACUGAGUGAGGAAGGGGGAGGGGGAGAGACAGGAAAGGAAAAACCUGUCUCUCUCCUUCCCUCGCCGGCCUUAGUCUGAGGGAAAUCAGUUACAUAACAGGGGCUGUGGAGGCAGCCGCUGCCCCAGUCCCCGAGGUCCCACCGCCUGCUUACAUCACAAACGUAUAGACAGAGGGGGGAGGAGCCUAUAGUCAGCUAUACAAUCAGCAGUUCACAGAAAUACUCAGUUUGUACCCAUAUUUAAUAGGGCCUGAGUGUUAUGCACAUUUUCCAACCUAUCUAUCUAUCUAUCUAUCUAUCUAUCUAUCUAUCUAUCUAUCUAUCUAUCUAUCUAUCUAUCUAUCUAUCUAUCAAGCUAUGUCUGUAAAAACAAAUAGGAAUUUUUAUAUGUAUGUAUAUGUAUAUACUGUAUAUAUAUAUAUUUAUGUAUGGAGUCACAAUGUCACAUGUCAUGAUACACAAUACUAAAAUGAUACCUAAACUGAAGUCUCUGUAUGUGUAAUACCUUAUAGACCUUUUAUUCUUUAUAAAGAAUGUGGGGGAAUACCUCAACUUACAAUCUACUGGAAGUACCCAAACUUCAAAAUAAAAGCCCCAAUUUACAUGCAGGAAGUAAAGCAACUGAAAAGCAAGACAGAAAACAAUCUAUACAAAAGCAGGAAACAUAAUUGUGCUAUGAAGCAAUAUGUUUAGAGAGGAACUGGUCAAGUAGCUGGUUGUGUGGAUAAAUCAUAAAUGUGACCAUUUUUAGAUACAACUGAUAUUUGGAAGCAACAUUCCUCUGGUAGUAAAAAUGAAAACUUUUCUGUCCAAAUGUAGAAUUUGGAUUAUUAGAAACUGCAUCAUAAAAUGAGUUUAAUAUUUUUGAUCAAACCUGUGAGACACACUAGUGGAAAAAAUAAAAUCCAGAGGGGAAGAUGUACAGGCAGCAGAGUCAAAGUAGCACCCUUUUGAUUGGUUAAUUUUACUGGCCAUCUGUAAAAUAAAAGAAAGCAGCUGUAUCUAUAUGUAAUUCUUAUAAAAUUAUAACAAUUAGAAUAGAUUUUUAAAAAGUUGGUGGGUUGGUUUUGUGGAUAAAUACUGAAUUUAAACAUUAUUUGAAAUGGAUGAUAGCAUGAAGGUUAGUUGAGUUUCAUAGUGGAGGUUAUUAAGCUACGGGCGACUCCAUCCAUGUACUACCUUUCUUUAAUUUGAUUGUCUCUUUUUGUAUUUCUCAAAUUUUCCAUAAAUAUUGUGAUAAUAUUAUUUUCAUGAAACUUAAUGAGCAUGCUAAUGAUGAGGUGAAAACCUGAUACAUUACCUUCCCUGCAGGUUUAGAGUAAACGUUAGGGGCACCGCUGCUCUGGUAACAGCUGGCAUUUCAGGCCACACAGUAAACUGGCACAGAGACAAGAUGCUGAUACUCAAACUCAAACACUGGCACUGAAAACCAGAUGGCAUAACUGAACAUCUGUCCCGAGCAUCAGUCCCAGGUAUCUACAAUAGCAGCAUCUUGUGCUUUUUCACAGUCAUGUGAACUCUCAGCACAGUUAACUCUGGUGUAGGGCUUCACUCUUAUCAUAUUACUGUCAUUAGGUGUAAUCAAAGAAUAAAAGCUGCAGUCUGAAACUUUUCUAGCACAGAGUUGGUGCACACAGGCGUGUUAUCAAAUAUGGAUUAACUUAACAUGUUUAGGACUUUGAAAUUCACCAUAAAAGAGUCUUAAGAAAAAAAAAACAGCACCAGAAGUGCAUAUUUUUUUCAGUUGAUUUCCUAUGGGAUUUAUGAGUGGCAAAUAAAAGGAGCAGGUUUGAAAUACUUCCUGUGGGUUUGCUGCUUUGACUUUUACAGGUUCAUGGCUCUUGCAGAGUCAGUGAGAUGGACGAUGUUGUAGAGGCUGUUUCCUUCAUGUUCACUUCAGAGUAACUCAUGUCAUACUCCAGUCGAUAAAACCUUUAAAUUCAGUGUCUGAGCCUUCCUUUCUGCUGACAGCACUGUUUUGUGUCUUAAUACAUUUUCUCCGAUACAUCCCCUCUUUGUUUGCAAUAUAAUCUGUCUAUUUAUCUCCCUUACCAAGCUCAGCAGCAGAGACUGUCCCAUGACACACACAAGCUGCACAGAAAAAAAAGAGCUCUGUGCCAAUCUGUAUCAUCAGUGUUGGUAAACACCCUGCUAGACAAAAAACAUGUGAUGAUGAAAAUGAUGCUGCCCUGAUGAUGACGAUGUGUACCAGACACAGUAAAUCUGCUCCAGUGGAUCUGUGUUGUCCACAGUAAGCCUUUUUAACAGACCGGUUUGUCCACUAUCAGGGAAACACAAAAACCCACCCAGACAUCACAUGGGUGCUCAAAUAAACGCAGUGUAGACAGCCGUAAAGGUUUGCCGCUUCAAAUCAAAUUCUGUAAUUUACUUAGCCUAUGUACGCUAGCUAAAGGAGGGCGACAUAGAGAGGCAGGGUUUAGAUACUGCUACCUUGGAGGACCUCUGAUGGAUGAACUCUGUGUAGGAGGUUUCCUCUCUACAGUAUGUACGUACCAGGGCUGGGAACUUGGUGUACUUACAAAACAAUUAUGAUUACUGAGGACACAGUUUGAAGCAGUACAAUAGCGUGGCUCAUGUAUAUAGAAGUCCUCAAAUAGCUGCCUGGGCUCAACCCCAACCCCUCUAUUGGAUUAAUGCUUUUGGUCCCACCAGGAGGAGGAUUUAAGGAGUGACUUGCUGAGUCUGUUAAAAGGGAAAUAUUACUUUUAAAUUAGAUAUUUAUAUUUUGUGACAGUGACUCGCUUUUACGUAAAUGUUUUAUUCAUUGAUGAAUUCAUCAUGAAUCUGAUGACAAUAGAUCUGCGACGAAAGCUUUGAUUUUAGCAUGACUUCAGUCGGUCUCCAAACCAAAGAUGAACAGAUACAAGUUUGUUAUGUUAAAUAGCAAAUAGUGAGAGGAAGACAUGACAGCCAGAUGAAAUUAUAAUCAGAGACUUUGCUGUAACAUGAAUCUGAAUCACUGUAACAAUUACAGUAGCCAAGCUCAGUGCUUUCCAAGAGGACAUAUUUUGGAGUUUAAAAAGAUCUGACAGUGUUCAGUUUUGUUUUGGAUUGUAACUGAAAUAGAGCCCAAGUGGGACAGUUUAGAGCAGUGGUUCCUGACCUUUUCCAGUUACCCAUGUGGUACAGCCUGCGGGUGAAUACAAUUACAGCAUCACGUGUCUAAAACAACUAAAAAUAAUGUCCCUGGUAAAGGGGUUAUUGUAAAAUAAAACACAAAUCUGAAUCAGGAAUUUUCAUUUUUGUUUAGGCUUAUUUGGCUUAUGUGUUAUGACCAACUAUUACUUGUUUUCCAUCAGACCUCCGUCUCUUGUUUUUUUUUUUUUUUUUAAAUUGCUCCACAGGUCAUGUUAAACCCUGUUUGAAUACACUAUGUUAGCUGCUGAAGAGGAAAAAUGAGCUGACUUUUUAAAGCUUUCACUGUGUCCUCCGAGUGAACUUUGAUGAUGUAAAAACAAAAUGCUAAAAAGUUUCAAGGUACAGUGCACACUUUAUACCGGGAUGAGCACUUGAGUCUGAGUCUCUCAAAAUUAGCUCAGUUAGGGGGCAGGACUAGUCCCCUCUGCAGAGAACUGUAGCUCAUCUAGGGUCCUGUGUCUGCCAGCAGUUUGUCAGUAAAGGAUCCAGCAUACAGUGAACUCUCAUGUAACUCAUACAACUUCACUUCAAAAUACUGAGAGAACCCUUUAAGAGCUUUGAGGAACAACCAUGAAAUAUUAUCACACAUUUUUUUCUGACAGGUCAGCCUUUGUUGCCCUCAGGUGUACCUAACCUAACCAUUAUAAACCUGCUUUGUAGCUUUUACAGAAGCAGGUCAAUGAGAUAAAUAGAGGCAGAGAUAGAUGGGAAAGUGAUGAGCGUCUCAGAGCACAAACUGAGGGAGGACUGAUUGAAGUUACCACCGAGUGAAUGUACUUUACAUAAAGCCUGACUGAACACAGCAUAAACGGGCUGUACUGUGAGCUCACAAACAGUAUUAUAGAAGAGCCUGGGGGCGCCUCCGUGGUACUAGUUCCUCUGGAAUGUUCUGUUCUUUUCUGCAGAGGCGGGAACAUCUUUAUUUAAUGCAGCCUCUAUUAAAUUAGUGUUAAACGCCAGCUGUAGACAUGUAUCUCCCACACGGAAAAUUAAACAUCUAUCAGUCAGCCAAGGACGGCCCUCUCUCCUUAUGACAGCUGAUAGAGGUCUUAAAUUGGCGUUGAGAAUUAUCAGUAGUUAUGUUGUGUGUGAGUCUUUAUGUUUAAAGAAAUAUGCACUUUAAACAUGAGUGAGGAUAAAGCAGGACAUGUGACAGAAGUUAGUGCUCUCGCUUCAUGAGCAAACUUGAGAGGUUCAGCAUUAAGCAUCAUGGUUCAAUUAAACCUUAACUUCUCUUCAAUGUACAUUUUAAAAUUACACAGCUUCUCCUCGACAGUUUGUCCUUCUCCAGAGAGUUGUAUUCAAAAGUCUUUUCUCUCCCCCAGGCUGAGGAUUUGGUUUCGGUCAAGUUCAAAUGCUCUCUUUGGUUUCAAGUGGCUCUUUAGCGGUUCAGUUUAGCUGUGAUUUAUGUGAGUUAUGUCAGCUGCUUGGAUUUAAUGACUGCAUAUCAUUCACUCAAGCUGAAAUAUUCAACCGAGAAUUGAAUUGACUUACGUUAAGUUUUUCCAUGGCAACACUCAAGUCUAACAAGUCAGGAGUCUUUUGUUAAGUGUGUUUUCUCUGCCCUCCCUGAUCUCUAUCAUUGAUGUUACUAUGGUUUUCUUACACUGUUAUGAGUCUCAACCAUAUGAGAAAAACUCAGGUUAAAGUCUUUAUUCUGUCUGUGGUUAUUCAAAGAGGUGUAGAGAGGAAGGUGCUCAGAGACGACCCCAGGAGAAACAGACAAUUCUGACUCUAGAUUAAAGAGUAUGGCUGCAUGAUGUUUUGGCCUAAAAAGAAGUGCUGCUUGUUCAAACUAUACCUGAGCUGCUUUGCUGGAAAUAUAAUACAACAAGAACAAGGUACUUUUCUACUACACUUUGUUUUCCAGAACUUUAUACCUAUAUAUGCUUGAAAAGCAGAACGUUGUUAAAAGAUUAGCCUGAAUGGCAAACAAACAAACAAAAAAAACAUGCUGUGAUUUGUGUCUUGCUGCCAAAGUCUUGUAGGGCCAGUGAAGGCAUGAUGUUGACAUGGAUACAGAGUCGAGUUGUGAAAAAAAUCAGGGAGGAUGGUGGAUUUUAUUGUUCUGAUGACAGUGCACAUGGAGGAGAACCAACUGUGUGCCCAUUUUAUUGUGACUAGCACACAAAGAUAAUUAUUAUACAACAUAAUCCCACAGAUUGCGCUGUCCAUGUUGCUUGGCCAUGAUACUCUAAUCGCAACAGCAUCGCCAGCGCUGCUCAUUGAUAUCACUUUUUUAAAAGAAAGGAAAAAUAGUGUCAUUUUCACACAUGCCACCCCACCCAGAGUCUUUUAUUUAAUAUGCGCAAAGCCCCCUGUCGCAGGGUUCUCGCUCAAACAAUCACAAUAUAGUGGAAAGACACAGGCAUAGCGGAAAAUCCGGUGAUGGUGAUAGGAUUUAUUUUCAGCCCGCCUCACAAGGUGCAGUGCAAAAAUAAGUACAAAAGUGCAAAAAAAAAAAAAAAAAGGUCAAAUACUAUUUACAAAAUGUACAAGGCCAAAAAAAAGAAAAUGCCAACAAGGCAAGAGUUCCACUAUAACUCAAGAUUCUCACUGAAGAGAAAAAAGAAAACAGAAACACAGUAACAAUACUAAAAUCAGUUUAGCAGUUACUUUCCAUACAACAAAGUCCAGUCUCGAAGAAAGGAAGGCCCAGGAAGCCCUCCGUUAACCCUCCUAGCCCCUCCUAGUGGGCGUUAGUAAGUUUGGAUAAAACUAAUUUAUUCACAUAUAAACAAUUUUUUACUAUUUUUAACCUUCAGAUCUUUUUCUGUAAGUUUUUGCCAUUUUUAAUAAGUUUUUACUUAGAUUAAUGGAGCAUUAAUUUUUAAGGAUUUGUGGCAAGCAACAAAGAAAUUAUUUUUUCUUGCAUCAUGUGACCACUUUGACCCUCCAUACCCACCUAUUUUACACACGGAAAUAAUGCGCUCUGUUUUCCUCAUGCGGAAACAUGAGCCGGCAUGAUAGCGUGAAUGGACGCCCGGCAAGUAAGUGAAGGGAUAAAUAUCUUUGUGAAUUUAUGUUUAAGUUGACCGAUAGAGCUCCAAGUGUGCAACCUUGGUUCCCUAUCCAACAGAGAGAAGGGAAAAUAGCGCUGUUUAGAGGGUAAUUAGCGACGCUGGCGGGGAGGAAAAUGUUUGGCGUGCACGUGUGUGUGUGUGUGUUUGUGUUGCUCCAUGCGCUGCCCGCAGUCAUAGAGGACGUCACUCCUUCACACACGCUUAAAAGUUGAAAUUGCGGUGAUAUUUCUAAUGUUAAGAUAGUAGUAAUGUUUCCAUAUUCAUUGACAUAAGUGGCUCAAGUGAUGAAAAGUUGGUAUGACCGUUGUAGAAGGGGUAUAAUUUUGACCAUUUUCACUUCAAUGGGCCAACCCCCUCAACUCCAGUACUGGAUACAGUAGGGGAGAGUGGGGUAAGUUGUGCCACCCCCUGUUGCUCGGAAAUGGUAAAAGAAAUUGAUCAUGUGACCAGAUGUUUAGGAGAUGGGCAUCAAUUCAUUGAGUCUGUGAAGGUUAGAAGCACAUGGGUGAAGGGGUUAGACAUUUAUUUCCAAAAAACAUUUUUAACUCUUGAAAGUGAAUUUUAGAAGUUAUAAUGAAUUAUUGUCCCAGUUUAAUAGCAUUAAUUAGAUAAAAAUACACAUAAUUUAUCCCAUAAACGGGAAAAGUUGACCAUAGGAGACCACUUUUUUUGUCACGCUAUAUUUUCAAGACAGUUAUGUUUUCACUCAUUCUGUUAUAUAGAUAGAUAGAUAGAUAGAUAGAUAGAUAGAUAGACUUUAUUGAUCCCAAACUGGGAAAUUCUCAAAUUCUGUUGGUUUGUAGGGAUGCACAACAUCUUGAAAUAUAUGCAGAUACACUAGUUAAGAGACAAACCUAUGAUUGCCUUGAUGUUGUGAUCCGAGAUAUGAAAAAUGGCUCAUCUUACCCCACUCUCCCCUACUGGAUGCAGUUCGUUAGAACUGAUGCUUCUGCAUAUCUGACAGUUUGAGUGUAAAUCUGACUUUGUUUUUGUAGUUUUGAAAUACUCUGCUUUUUUUCACUGUGGGGAUGAGAUAAGAGUUGUUUAAAAGAAAUGAUUUUUCCAGUAGUUUAACUGGAUAUUUGACAAUUUUAAGGGUAAGAAAGCACAUGGAAAGCAGUCAAAAUUAGGCAGCAAACCACAGAGGGUAUCACAGAGUCUGUAAAAUUAGUUUGUGGCUUUCAGAGCUAGCAUCAACAGCCUUGGGUCCUCUGAACAGGUUUGUGGAUGUCACAUCAACCGGAGCUGCUAUUAUUACUCAUGUAAUCUUUCAUUUAGCUUAGUAGUAGCUGUAAUACCAAAGCGAAACUGUGCGUCACUUUUUAACAAGUUAGCCCAACUUAGUGUGCUGUUAGGUGGAAAAAGCUUCUGUUGGGGCCAAACGGGAUAUCUGAUUUAAAUAAUAAAUUUAAUUUAUGGUAAACUAGCUUAAGGAAAGAAAAUUAAUUUAAAGCUGGUAUUAAUUUUCUUGCCUGCCUAAUUGUCAAUAUUUUUAGUUGGCAUUUAAUUUGAAGUAAUCAUACUGUCAUUUUUACCUGCUGCCCAUCCCUGUGUACCUGAGUCACUGACUGCUGCAGGUGAUUUAGUGUGAUUAGUGACACCUGGCCAGACGGCUGAGCCUGGGAGUGGAAAAGCUUAUUGACUGCAAAGAGCGAUAUAUAGUUACCUUUAUAGUUACCUUUAAUUUACUUUAAUCCGUAGAGUGACACGUGUAAAUCCUUUAUUUUCCUUGGAAAUAAACCUUGGAAGUGACUCUGGAGCCGCGGCUAAUUUUGUUUGGACUGUGUGUAUUAGACCCACUCGUCAGUGGUUUUCUUUGGAGACUUAAAGCCACUACAGUUUCUUUAUUGAAAAAAACAAAAACCAGCAGGCUGCUUUUCCUUAAAACAAGGGUACUUGCUGUGAACUGAUGCUCUAAAUCUUCAGAACUUUGCUGUGGUCUUUGCUGAUCUGGUCCUGGAUGUGUCUAAGAUGUGUUUUGUUUUUCAUUUUCUGAGACAUAUCUCCUCCUCCUUUGUUUAGACAGUAAAAAUGCAUCCAUCUUCCAGAACCUUUUUUUUUUUUUUGUUGUGCACACUGUUGUUGUGACGAAAAACGCUGAUUCAGCAGCGUGCUCAGAAUCAGUUUGUCUGACACCUACCCAGCGGCAGCAGUCUCAGGCAUUUGAAAUUAACCGUAGAGAAAUGAUCAAUCUUUAUGCUGAUGCUAUUCGAGGCUCCUGGAGGUCAUAAAGGAUUAAAUCCAGUCUGUUUCAUAACCAGCUAGAAAUUCCUUACAGGAUCUUUAAACAAAAACAAUGAGAUACGACAUGAUAAAAUAAUACGGGGGGCUUCAAGGGUGGGUUUAUCAAUACAAUUAUAUAUUCACAGAUUGAUGAACACAAACCACGAGGGAGUUUGCAUCCACACACCGCUCUCUAGCACUUUUAACAUCAUUACUGCGACUGCGUCUUCUUGUGACAUUCAAUUCCUCGAAUACUUCUAAUCAAAUGAUCACAAACUCUGAGGAAAUGGCGCAUCAUCUAGUUAGUGUGCCUUUAAGCUUUCAGACGACACUGAUUGACCUAGAAGGAACUUAUCAAUCAAUAAAUCAACAUUUGUUUAUCUGCAGUCGACUGAGAUGCAGCCAAGUUCAGGACCUGAGUGUUUCUGCUUCCUCCUCUAUUUUCAGCCCCUCACCACCGAGCAGGACAGUAUCGUGAGUGUAGGCAUGUGUGCCGUGGCUGCGUUCAGGACUCUCUGUUCUCUCUCUGUUUCUCCUCCCUCUAUCUCUUACUCUAAUGCUGCGCAGUCUCUUUCUCUCAGCAGCAUCUCAGGGGGAUGGUAUUGUUUUAGGGGAUAAGAGGAAAGACUAAAAAAACUGCUUUAGAGGGAUAAGAGAAAGACUUCAUAACAAGCUCUCAUCCCUCCAGGGAGGAUUCUCGCACACGCACGUUCACAAAUGUUGUCAGAGGGUAGACACAGAUUCACGCAGUACAAAACACGCACACACAUAAAAUCUCUGCCCUAUAGAGAAAGGAACAUGGACUGGCGUCAGGAGUGGCCACAACAGGAAGCGGUCCAGGGCUUACAUUAAAAGGAUGGACUCCCUGCUUAGAAUGAACUUCUACAGAGGAGGUCGGGGUCUUUGCUCCUCCCCUCGGGGGGGGGGGUUUGGACAAGUGCAGUAAAGUUCACAUCAUGACUCUUGAAUAGGAACUUCCUAGACAUCAACAUAUGAGGGAAAUGGAAGAGAUUGGGGGGGGCAGCAUUGUGUCCUGCACUGAGCUCAAGAAGAUGAAGUGAAAGGAUGGAGCUCCAAACGUGGAUUCACCAGCUGCCAUAGCUUUACAUUGUGCCCCUGUAAGCCGUCUCUGGAGAAGGAUUAUGCCGAGCCAACUCUUGAAUAUUUUUCCACAACUCACUGAUGGAGCUGUUAUCAUUGGUCACCGACUUUUCUUAUCAGAUACAUCGUCUGAUAGUCUGAUAAUAAGGGCCUGUAGCAGACCUGGUUUCUCCAGCAGAAAGCAGCUUUGAUGUAGUGAUCUACAGCCUGGAGUGCAAGAGAAGAUUCACCAUGACUAUUCAGACACAGUGAAAGACUGCACUGCCCUUUCUUCUCCCAAAACUCGUCUUACAGUGAAAAUAACCGAGCUGAGUCUUCCUCCUUUGUGUAGCAGCUCUCCAGGAUCAUAAGCUUUCAAUCUAAUGAGACUCUGCGCUGCUAUUUAUUGGCAGGAAAUUUGUGGUACAAUGUGAUAAUGCAUUUUCUAUUGAUCGUCAUGUGAUCCAAACUACGGCUGUCAUCAUACUGGAUCUGGACCUCAUGAUUAUCUUGGCCUCAAAAUAUCUGAUAUCCUGUCAGAUUUUGAAGAAAAACUUGAAAACAAAUCAUGGUCAGUCAAAUUGAGGGAGGUAUGGAAGAGGUUUAGGGCCACAUGAAAAGAAAGAAAAUCAUUACAGGAAGAAGAUUAAAGUAAAAAAUUAAAGAUUUGAAAAAUUCAAAAGUACAUUAAUAAUGUCAAAUUUUCAAGAUUCAAAUCCUGACAUUUCGACUUUAUUCACCUAAUUUCGAUUUCUUAAAUCUCAAAAUCUCGACUUUAUUCAUGUUAUUUUGAUUUUUUUAAUUACCAAAUUUCAAUUUUUUCAUUUUUAACUUUUUAAAAUUUCAACUGUAAUCUUGAAAUUUCAACUUAAACCCAAAUCAUGGCCAGAAAAUUCCAAUUUUUUUUGGAGCUGUAAUGUUUAUUUCACUUAACUGAAAACCAAAAAAAUCAAAAUGUCCUUAUAAAUAACAAAUAUAUACAUAUUUAUCUUGUUUGAUACAUUAGAUGUCUUUGAAAACUGGUAAACCACAAGAGGACAUUUUUAUCAUGUAUCGAGCUGGGUUCAGAUGUUUUUAUUAGUAAUUUAUUAUAUUGAUUUGAUAGAAGUAACAUAAAAGUAUGUAUCAAAUAUGAUACAAAAGGCAUUAAAGGGUUAAUCUCGAAAUGAAAAUGAAAAAAAAUCUUCCUCCUGUAAUUAUUUUUUAUCCUCUUUCACAGGGAUGACAUGACAUGACAAGACAUGGAAGGCAUGACAAGGCUGGAGUGGCCUUACUUUAUAAACUUAACUAAUAAACAUAUCAGAGUGGGCUAAAUGUGUUUUUCUGUCCACACUCAUAUUGUGUCUAAGCAUGUGUUAUUGCAGUAAAAAGCUUGCUGCAGUAUCUGUGAAACCUUGUGCGUCUUUAUCUGGAGAGAUCUUUUAUUCCUGAUGAUGGGUAGGUGUGAUGAGUACACAGCAGCUCAGGGUGAGGAUGUGUUGGUGAGAGUAGCUAUAGAGGCCAUGCUAGACUCAUCGUAGAAGGUUAAUGGAGUGGAGUCAGCACAUACCCUGACACUGUAGGUCAGCUUUAGUAGACGCCUCAGCCUUAGUACAGACAGCCAAUUUGGCUUGUUAGAAAAUUAAGUGUUCCGACUUCAAAUCAAGCAGCGGGUAGUCCAGUGGAGAUGUCAGGAUAAGCUGCAUCGGUGGCUGUUUUGAGUUAUUGGAGUCAUGCGAUAUGACUCCAGGCACAAAUUGUUCCUUAUAUAAAGGGUCUAAACAUUUAGAUUGAGGGCGGAUUUUUGUCUUCCUUCUUAUUUAGACUAAAUCAGCUUAACAUGUAUCAAAGAGGCACACACACACACACACACUCACAUUCAGUGUCCUAUAUUUUCCCCAGGCUCACAUAAUAAAAUACUAAAUUAAAAAUUAAAGCAGAAAGAGCUGAUGUUCCCCGCUGAGUUUAAAGUGAAACGUUAGAUGGGUAAAAUAAGGAGCUGCUCGAGCUUGUUGUCAACCUCUAGACAAGUUUUUACCCUUAAUGUCAGAGAUGAUACAUUUCUAAUCUACUGAUACACUGCAAACAUUACAGACCUCUCGGGUUGUCAGGGACAGGUCUCAUUUCUUUCCCCAAAACCAGAAGAAACAUGAAGAGAGCUGAUCAGUUUUGAUGCUCCAGUCGGUCCAGAUGAAGUCUCAUUUCCCUUCAUUAAAGGCUGGAGACUCAUCUGUUCACAGAAGUCUUUGAUUCAAUUUUUAAAAUACAUUUAUUGAAUGAGUAUUUCAGCUAUAUAUCACUGCGCUGUGACUUGAACACACGUUUUAUUAAAGUAUGGCUUCUGUGAUAACUGUUUUUAAUUUAUCAUCCUUGUUUCUUUAAUGGCUUGUUUUAAACACUUUAAUUAUUUCAUUAGUGUAGAGCACUUUCUCCUGAUUGGGUGCAGUAUAUGUCAUUAAUCUCACUUUAAUGACAGUUACAAAGGGAAAAAAAAUCAUAUACAUCUUUCUCACACGUGGUUUUUUGUCAUGAUAUGUUACUCUUCAUGUGCUGAUUUAUGCGCACGUGUUCAGUUUUCUGAGAAGUUAUUUGAUUUAGAAAAGAACAGAUGUGACAUCAUGAUUGACAGCUCUGGCUGCAGCUGUAGGCUUAAGCAUGAUGAACUGGAUCAGCAGAGUCGAGGAGGUAAGGGAGAAAUAUCCGUGCACUAACACAGUGUUUCCCAAAGUGUGCAGCAGCCUCCCCUGGGAGGGUGGAGGCAUGGUGAAGAGAAUGCAGGAAAAAUCCAUUUAUUCCCUAUAGAAAUAGUUUCAUUAAUGGUUUGUUGUAUUUAUACUGCAUCGUUUUCAAAUUAACUGGGAAAACUUGGAUGUCUGUGUUGAUGCUUGAUAGCUAACAGGCUACCUGUGACAAGUGACAAAAGGAAAACACCAGGACUAAGAAUGACACGUCAUGUAGAAAAAAAAUACUGUGAUGGAGAACAUGGUGUUUAUUUCAUUUCAAAGUUAAAUCCAUCAAACUAUAAAUUCAUGUUGACCUGUUCUCUGUGUAAUAAUCUCAAACUGAUGAUAAUUUGUAUUGUUUCAGAUUUCCCGCACUGGCGCUGGAGUUGUACAUCUUUGUUCAUGUUGGCGCCUUCCCACCUGAUGUGUGUGUCAACAAAGAACACCAGCCUCCAUCUUCUCAUCACCAGGUUGGUUCUGGUUUUUUUGUCCUUAAUAAAGAGGACUGUCCCGGUCCUUUUGAUUAUGAUGAAUGGUAGACAUGGUACUAAGUUGACCGAUUGGCAUAUCUAAGAUCAAAGGUUAGCAUGACUGUCCAUGUAAACAUGUGUGAAUGUUUGGACCCCAGGAAGAAUAGUCUUCACAGUAGUGAGGACUAAUGGGGAUCCGCAAUAAACAAUAAACACCAAGGUCUAAAGGUGGGGUAGGCAGGAUCUGAGAAAAUGCCAGUUUUUGGGAGAAAUCUUGAAUGUAAACACUACCCCUCCCAACAAGCUUUCCCCUCAGCUCCUCCUCUCCCCUCCCUCUCUGCUCCAGCAAGCCCCGCCCACAAACAAACGCUCCUGCUCGCUUGUAUCGUUUCAAUGAAAUUCAGAUAUAAUGCAGAUAAAUACUUCAGAUUAUUAAAAAUGGGGCCCAGUCGAUGUGAAAGUAAAAUGCAUUGGUGCCAACAGACUACCAGCAAACACAAUGUUUGCAGAACUUCUACAACUAGGAUAAAGUGACAAAGUCCAGGGGCCUAUUCUACGAAGCAAGCCCUGAGCUUACCCUCGAAGUUACCUUGCUAGGCAGUAAUCCUGCAUCGUAGAAUAGGCCCCAGGACCCGAGGUAAACAGUUUAGUAGCGCUACAACAUGCAGCAGGUCUUGUUUGACAAGAAGCACUUCUGUUACAGACACUUGGCUUGACAAAGUGGUUUACCUGUCCAGCAGGUAAACCGCAGGGUCUGUACAGAGUCCGUAAGAUCCCAAAGUGUUCACUGAUGUUGAUCCGGCUUUUUAGUUCUUGUCCGAGUGGUCUACCUCCUUUUUAAGCGCCCGUUAUUCCAGCAGAGUCUCAGGCAUUUACUUCGUUUUCUUGCUUGUGUUGGCAGUCGUGGCCAAAGAUGCUUCUGGUUGGUUUCUACUGUCCGAUAUUAUUGCACACUAACUUUGUUUGGGCUUGUGCAUGUUAUUGGAGGAUGUGGAGCCUGCCUCACAACAUGAGGGAGCAGCGUCUGCCUCACAACCAAUCAGCACUGAGGAGCAGCAUUCGCCUUACAACCAAUCAGGUUAGGGGAGGUGGAGAAUGGCUUUGUUUACAGUCAGAAAGAGUGGACCGCUCAAAAAAUUUAAAAUGUUGACUACACAGACAUAACAAAACAGCGAUAUCACGAUAUUCCCAAAUGUCAUCAAUAAGUAAGAGCUAUUGACUGAUAUUAAAAGCUUUUUUGUAUAUACACCAUAAAAAAUUAACGGAAUCCUACCUACUCUUCCUUUAACUCUGACUUUUUAAAAUCGUAGCAGUGGGGACACAUUUUCAAAAUGAUACAGAUCAUCAUGAUGAAAUACUUUCAGCAGGAUACACUAUAAAGCUUCAAAGUGCCACAGCAGUAACAUCUAAUUAUUAAUUAUAGAUCUCAUCUAACAGCUCAGGUGUGAAAUCACAUUUAGUUACGAUAAGAAAAAGCUGGCUAGAGAAAGGUUAUCUAAAAGUGAAACACACUCACACAUCGAUUCACAUACAAAUGGAAUUUCUCACCCCUGUAUCUGUAACUGUCUGUCUCCAGUUUGAUUAGUUUGGGCUGAAACUUGGAACGGACAGUCCAUCAAGUGUAUCAUAGUUUCAAGGCCUAAUAGAGCUGGAAGUUUCUCAAUCCUGAAGUGUAAGUCUCAUUGAGAAGAGCUCCCAAGAACCCUUCCACAUACCCAGACUCCAGACCCUACAUUUCCUGCAGCCAGCAGAGCCAUCUGGCUCAGUCAGGCUUCCUGUGCUCAGAGAGACUCAGUGGAGCCUUAAAUGUAAACAGGUUUUUUUCAUUUCAUCAAAAGAAGGGAAAUAAGUUCUCCUUUCUCAUAUUUAUGUUGUGAGUUUGUAUUACAGAGCUUUUCAUCUAUAAGUAAGGUUAUCAAACGCUGCUGUUCAUGGUCCCUUACUCUCUCUGUGGUUUGAUCCAAUCAGCGCACAGCGAGGAGGGGUGUAACACACCAUACAUUGAUGGGCAAAUGGUUGUUGACAGAAGCUUCAUGGGAGGUUAAUCCAUGGUCCUUGACAACAUCACUUUAGUCACAGUUAGUGCCGGACAGCAACCAUUGAAUCUCUGUCACGAAGAAUUUUGCUAUAAUCAUACCAGUUAAUGUGAGUCUGAGUAUAUUCAGUAAUAUGGUGAAAUAGAGACAGAGCCUGUCAUGUCAUAUUCAAACAAACCACUCCAACAAGAAGAGGAAUGGCAAUGAUAAGAUCCAAGUUUGUUUUUUUGAUAUAAUUCUGCAGGUAUUGAACACAAAAACCAGGUCUGGCUUGUCAUCUGAGACACUGUGAGCCACCUGUUUGUAAUCACACUCCCUGCUCACCUGGUUGUCUGCUUGCUGAUUUCCUUCUGGCGUGCCUGAUUCUCCAUCCAUUGCUGUCUAUGCUUUGAUGGUGAUCCUCCCCACUGGCAGCCUGUGUCCCACUGCCUGCUGCUGGAUCUGGCUGCCUGUCUGUGGCCCGUUUCCUAUUGCCUACCUGCUGUUGGGUUUUUGGCUUCCUCACCUUAGAGUGGCCUGCUUCUACUGGCUACUAUUAACCUGUAAGUUAGAAGAGUGCACUGGGGAAGGUAUACUCUCUGCCGAUCAAGCCCUGUGUGUUCACUCGCAAUAUUUUCAAGGAACAGCAUGAAAAUAACCAGAGACAUCUUGUUGUGGACUCUUCUAAUAAUGUAGUUGUUUUGUAGACUCUGACAGGACGUUCUUGCACUAUCACCCUUCCCGAUGUAUAUAACUACUACAGAGUCAUCAGACAACUUCUGAAGGGCCCCGGCGUUGCUUACCACUCUGUCUGACACACAAUGUUGUUAGCAUACAAACUGUGGUCUGCCAGUCAACGAUCCAAAACAUGUGAAGAGCCUCCAUCAGCAUUAGGGUUAGCAGGUAGAGUUCCAGGAUGAGUCUCUUCAGGGUCUUCGUAAUGUGAGAUAUCAACACCACUGGUCUACAGUCCCUGGAGCUGUUGGGACGUGGCUUGUUCGGCACUGGGACAAAGCAGGACAUCUUCCACAGCAAUGGGAUCCUCAUGGUGAAGACAAAGUGAAUCAGUCCACAGAGCUGUGGGGCGUUCUGGGGCUGACACCAUCAGAGCCAGCAGCCUUGCCAGCAUGGAGGGGGCUGCUAUAGGACACCCUCAGCAAUUAAAGAUGCACUUCCUUCUUAUGAGCAUUAAAUGAUAAUGAAAUUGUUCUGAUGGGGGAUUUUAAUUGGAAUUGGCAGGGUCUAGUGGCUGAUGACUUCAAUGCACAAUGUGACUCUUUGAAUCUCUUCCAGACUGUAAAUAAGCCAACUUGGCCCAAUCUGAAAUGUCCUGAAAAGUCAUUAUUCCCUUAGAUUUUCUCCCGUAUCCCUUUUUUAUGAAUGACAUGAGUGAUCACUGUGCUAUUGCCACAGUUAGAAAUGGCAUGAUCCCUAAAACCAAACC
This is a non-coding RNA of Xyrichtys novacula (pearly razorfish), 18180 nucleotides long. The record is from the annotation of a GenBank genome assembly. Lineage: Eukaryota; Metazoa; Chordata; Actinopteri; Labriformes; Labridae.